Molecule: unclassified non-coding RNA, 1127 nt
Filed under: Pomacea canaliculata
Lineage: Eukaryota; Metazoa; Mollusca; Gastropoda; Architaenioglossa; Ampullariidae
Description: protein N-terminal asparagine amidohydrolase-like, transcript variant X4
Source: RNAcentral
UCAACCAUUGAUUCUUGCAAAACGUUUUUUCUUGCUACACCCGCGAGCCUAGCUGCUAGUUUAAACGAUAGGUUCGCUAGGCUAGCUUCGCUCGAUUCGCUAAGCGCUAUGCAACACGCCACCGUUGUUCAAUACGCUUCACCGAUCUACGACGCACUUCCGUUAUUCGCUAAGACGGUGCUAUCUAUUUUUUCUUUUUGGUUGUUGUUUUCAAAGAGAAUUUUCUGGAGUCAAGAUGCCUUUGUGGAUUAAUGAGAAAAGUACUGAUCAUGUCUCUGGAUCCCUGGCAGAAUUUUUUCAAAUAUUUCCAGUGCUGAAGAUUUCUGCAUCAUAUUUAACAAGCCAAAAGCCUAAUGAAUUUGGCCCCAAAGAUCUUCUGUAUAUUGGACAAAGAGAGUAUGGUGGGACAUGUCCAGAUGAUGAUGUGAUAAAAAUAAUAGGCUCUGAAGGUGCAACAACCUGCCACAUUGGUAUUUUGAGACAUACAGGCUCAGGUGCUGUAUGUAUGCUGCAUUUUGAUGGAUACAGCAUGAAUCAGGGAGUUGAAUCCAUGGUGCAGCUGAUUUUAGAGCUGUCACAACACAAGCUUGAAGGCAGGCUGGAAUUCCAUGUUGUUGGUGGUUUUAUGGAUGAUAAUCACAUCUCAGAGAAGAUCUCCAUGGCUCUGUUUAGACAUCUUUCUCAGUGCAAAGAAGAUAUUUACCUGGUGACAGCUUGCAUUGGAGAUGUAAACACAACUUACAAAAAUGGUGUUCCUUUCCCUGUCAUAUAUGGUGUUGCUGUGGACGUUCAGACAGGAGCCAUUUAUAAUGCUUCCUUUCCGGACCAUGGGCCAGAUGAACCUUUGCGCAGUACUCGAGUCUUCAGUGGUAAUUCUGAUCUUAUAUUGCUGGCAUCAACAAACUGCAACAAGGACAUUGUCUUCAUGUGAGCCAUGCUCUGUCACAGGCAAUGUUUGGGUGGAACCAAUGUCAUUGCAACUGCUGACUAAUUAUUCAGUAUACAACUACAGUAAGGGGCUACUAGAAAUAGGACCUUUCGCUUACUCACAGCUGCCAGAUCUUGAUGCUCUACUAAUGAUGCCAGACAGUUUCUACAGACAGCACUUAUCAACAUCACCAGCUCAA